UACGUAGGGGGCUAGCGUUGUCCGGAAUCACUGGGCGUAAAGCGCACGUAGGCGGAUUGCUAAGUCAGGGGUGAAAUCCUGGAGCUCAACUCCAGAACUGCCUUUGAUACUGGCGACCUUGAGUCCGGGAGAGGUGAGUGGAACUGCGAGUGUAGAGGUGAAAUUCGUAGAUAUUAGGAAGAACACCAGUGGCGAAGGCGGCUCACUGGCCCGGUACUGACGCUGAGGCGCGAAAGCGUGGGGAGCAAACAGG
RNAcentral lists this ribosomal RNA (253 nucleotides) under uncultured bacterium. RNAcentral describes it as "partial 16S ribosomal RNA". It matches the Rfam family "Bacterial small subunit ribosomal RNA", at positions 524 to 776 of the family's 1533-position model. The record is from RNAcentral.